UACGGGGGGGGCAAGCGUUAUCCGGAUUCAUUGGGUUUAAAGGGAGCGUAGGUGGCCUGAUAAGUCAGUGGUGAAAUCUCUCAGCUUAACUGAGAAAUUGCCAUUGAUACUGUUGGGCUUGAGUGUAGUUGCCGUUGGCGGAAUAUGACAUGUAGUGGUGAAAUACAUAGAGAUGUCAUAGAACACCGAUUGCGAAGGCAGCUGACGAAACUAUAACUGACACUGAGGCUCGAAAGUGCGGGGAUCAAACAGG
Molecule: ribosomal RNA, 253 nt
Filed under: uncultured prokaryote
Description: partial 16S ribosomal RNA
Rfam family: Bacterial small subunit ribosomal RNA
Source: RNAcentral